Limulus polyphemus (Atlantic horseshoe crab) is the source of this 1431-nucleotide long non-coding RNA. RefSeq lists it as uncharacterized. The transcript has 2 exons. Lineage: Eukaryota; Metazoa; Arthropoda; Merostomata; Xiphosura; Limulidae. The record is from RefSeq and is a predicted model, not a curated record.
UGUGGGAAUACUCUGUAUCAUCUCAGGGCGUUGGUUAGUCCUUAAACAUCGAAAAACAUUUUAACACGUACCUAAUAGCUUCAAAGUAUGUUUAGUUAUUUUAUAUAACGAGGAAAAUACUUCCAUUGUGAGGGUCAAAAUUACUUGAAUUUUCCCACGUUACUCCUAAAAAAUAUUUCUAUUAUACUAUUUAUAGUGACUGAAUACAACUUACAACUGAGCAGACACGGCGUCUUACCGAAGUAAGGGCUACGGCGAAUCGUGGAGGAUGAACAGCAAAGAGCAGCAGUCCACUCCGGGAGGAGGGGAGACAGGCGUUAAAUUUGCCAACGAACAGACACGAGCUAAGCUCUAUGAAACGAAGAAAAACAAAAAAAUCAUCCGACUGAUGACAGUCAUGGCAUACGUGUUUUCUGUUUCUCUCGCUGCUAUUGUACUUUCCCUUUAUUAUGUAUUUUUGUGGGAUCCUGCCAUGCAAAGUGAUGAACAGUCAACCAUGGAACACCAUGUUUCUAACGGCAGUCCUGUAGUUCAUCCCUUUCCUGUCCCCGAGGAGCAGAUCCCUGCUUACUAUACCAGUACUACCCCAACUCCAAUCUAUGAAGACAAAUCUGCGGAAGCAUUAGCAUCAAAACAUAACGAUUUUAUUGCAGCGUCUGAAGGGUCAGCAAACGAAAACUUAACAGAAAUUUAUAAAAUACCCGAAAGAGACCAAAUUGAAAGAGGUUCGGAAUGAAAGGUUGGAAGAAAAAACUGAACGAACCUUAGAAGUAUCGUUGGUCGAUAUUUUUAGGACGUCUAUAUACUGAAAUUGUAGACCCUGAAAGUGAAAUGUCAGCUUCUAAGAUUGUGAAGAUAGUUUUUAACGAGUAGAAUAACGUAGCUUUAUUGAUCGGCAGUCCAUUAGUAUGAACAGCUACAUAGUUGCUCAGCCAUGGGAAAGCAUUGUAUGAAACAUAACAAAAGAUGACCAUGAGUGUGAAACAGCAAUAUAACGUUACAGUUCAUCCCUAUGUGUAUAAUGUACCUAAAUAAAAUCCGAGUUUAACAAAUUACUGUAGUAAUUAUUUAAUUCCUGAAUAAUUGAAAGCUCAAAUUAAUAUAUUAGUACAGAUUGAAGUUUCUGAUAAUACCAGACACUUUCUCAAAAAAUUGUGUGCAUAUAUACAUAUAUAUACGUUUAAUGUAAGAUUAUACAUAAGUGGAUCAAUUUAUUUAUUUGUAUAUUGAUAUAUAAAUUACUUCAAUAAACUGUGCUAUUUUACUGAUCCCCAUGAAAUUAUUUUUCAAUGUGUUAAUACCAAAUAAGUUUGGAUAACUUAUAUGCUUGUAACUUUUGUUUAUUUAUAGGUAUACAAGUGCAACUGUGUUUUGUAUUCUGUGUGAUAUUGUAUAACCGUUGUUUAAGAAUAAAAUACUGAGAGUAUAUUA